Long non-coding RNA from Brassica napus (rape), 3412 nucleotides. RefSeq lists it as uncharacterized. The transcript has 2 exons. The record is from RefSeq and is a predicted model, not a curated record. NCBI's taxonomy places the organism in Eukaryota, Viridiplantae, Streptophyta, Magnoliopsida, Brassicales, Brassicaceae.
AAUGCUUCUCCUCAGAGCCGCCACUGCAUAUAAACAUAGAACUCACGUAUACAUGCAUUUUGGCUAACUCAUUAUAAAAGUAAAUAAACCUUUAGUUUUAAAUGAAUAUUAUUAAUAAGGCUCCAUAUAACCCACUGAUUACUGAACCUUUAAAUUCAUUUGGUACUACAGAUCCUCUACAACCAAGUAACAUCAGAGUCCAUUUAGUUCUUUCAGAUGCAUCCCACAAGUUUCACCAUGAAAAUUAUGGAUUUGAAACAGUUCCAUUGCAAUAAACGGUGUAAUUUAACUAAACCAAAUAAAAACAGAGAUAAACAUAGCCAACAGCUUUACUAAAUUUAAACUUACACAAUUAACUUAUUAAAAAAAAUUGCAACUAUAUAAAUUUUUAGAGUUAUUAAUUUAAAAAAUAGUUUAUUACAGUUUUAUAUUUUUAAAUUAAAUUUGGGUUUGUUCAAAAAAAAUUAAAUUUGGGUAACAUAAGUAAAAUAAUUUAAUUUAAUGUUCGUAUAAAUUGUUAAAUUUUAUAAUCCGAAUUAUAUAACUUUUUCCAUACACUAUUUGAUUUAUAUACUAACAACUACUAAGUAAAUACUAACCAACUCUAUAAACUUCGGCUUUUGAACAUGAAAGCGCUAAUAACGCUAAUGGUCGAUCAAAUCAUUUCGAAGAUACGAUAUGAAAAUACCAACAUAUAUGAAUUUGCCAGUCAUCUUAUGUCAACACAAUCUGUCAACAUAAUCAAUCUGUGUGACUUUCAAUAUUCCACUCAUCAUCAUUAUAAAGAACACGAAAAAAUAGAGGUUAAAAAAAACAAACGACAAAAUCAUAUACACAAAACUACAGGAUGGAUCAUCAAUGUACUUGACCCCACGCUUUUGCGGGGGCUACUCCCCUAGUAUAUAUAAUGUGUCAAUUGUUUAGAAGAUAUUCAGUGAUAUAUGAUAAUUGCUCCUUAACCCUCUAUUUUGUUUUGAGAUGGUAUAGUGAUUAGAUCGAGUCAUUUUCAAGUUGAACUCUGUAACUGGUAACAUGAGUAUUUAUGUUUUGGGCCAUUGCAAAAAUAAGCAGUCCGUUUAAAUCCUUUGUCCGCGAACUCCCAUGAACCAAUUUGGGUUACUAUAUUCAUGCCCAACAUGUUUGCAUAUAGAACUUCUUUUUUUUUGAAAGAAUUUUAAAUUUAUUCAUCUAAAAAAACUUUUGUACAGAGAGGACUGCUAUAUUUCUAUAAAAACAAAAAAUUCAAACCUUACUCAUAUACUUAUGUUUUUCCAAACCAAACCUCCAUUGCCUUCUCAAACUUUGCUCCAUUCUUCUUUCUAAGAGAAGUUACUCUGUUUCUCACCAGCUUAUCCAUCCUAGCAAUUAGACAAGUAGCUGGCUGCACUGGAUCCUCAACUCUUCUCACAUUCCUCUCAAUCCACAAUACAUGUACAACUGCUUGGAAACUGUAUCUCAACAAAAAAGUCGAAUGUCUCUCUUGCAUUCCAUUCACCACAGCUUGCAACACUCGAUCCCAUUGAUAGAUGCAUACAUUCCCCACCAAAUUUCCAAUAGUCCCACUCCACACUUCUUUUGAGUAUAUGCAUUCGAAAAAUAAGUGAUCUCUCGUUUCCAGCUCCUCCUUACAAAGCCAACAAGUAGAAAUGACAAAUGGAUUCCAUCUGAGAAUCCUGUCUCCCGUCGCUAGUCUAUUACGAACAGCAAGCCAUGAAAGAAAAGCGAACCUCGGAGUGGCCUCUGGAAACCAAAUACCUUUGCUCCACUGCACUCUAGAUGAACGAGCUCUAAUGAGAUUCCAAGUUUGAGAAGUGACAAAUCACGGCUUGAAAUCCUCAUUUUCCCUCUUCCAUAGACACACAUCCUCCAACAUAUUCAUACCACGACUUCUCAGCUUCAUAACCUCUUGCUCAAUCUGACGAAACACAGGGACUCUGUGCAGUCUGCUCCUAUACAUCUGAAUUGCUCUCUCCAUCGUAGUGUGCACCGGAAUACCCAGAGCUAUGCAUCCUCCUUCUCCUGUUAGAUCUAUUAGUUUUCCCAAAGGAGACCAAUUAUCCAACCAAAAAGAAGUUGUAGCACCACUAUUAAUCUCAACUUGAAUAAACUGAUAAGCCAAUGGUCUUAGCUUUAACAGUUUCUUCCACAUCCAAGAUCCCAAAGAACUACACUCCUUUAUACUCCAAAAAGAACCCUUCCUUAUAAGAUAUCUCCAAAUCCACUGCACCCACAAAGAAUUUCUCGCUGACAAUAACCGCCAAAUGAGCUUUAAGCAAGAAACAUUAUUUGCUUCAUUUAGGUUUCUCAAGCCUAAUCCACCCUCAUCUUUCGGCUUGCACACAUCUAUCUAAGCAAUCUUUGCUUUAUGCGUUGACAAAACUGGGCCAGACCAGAGGAAAGCUGCGCAUAUAGAACUUCUCUCAACCCAAUGAAGGGAAAACAACUUUUUCGGGUCUGCAAUAAUAGGCCUGCGAAGAUUCAUAUCCAAACAUUACUGUCAUGCUAAAACAAACCUGAACUAAGGGUAAAUUUAAAUUAUAUACCCAUGUGUAAAAAGUCAAUGCUUAAUCCAACUUUGACUUAAUUUUGUUAAAUAAUUUUUAACGGUAAUUAGUCAGAUGUUUAGUUGGAAGAUGAUGUCAGCUGGAUCUAGAAACAAGCCGAUCCGAACAUGGAUAUUAUAUAUGUGGGCCAAGAGUUUAAAUCAUUGGGCCGACAAAAAGAAAAAGACUUUAAUUGAACGUGUUGUUUUGUCUUACUCUUUGUUUCCUCAUCUUCUCCGACAAAAUCGAAGCUCGUCGUAGGACUACUAGUUUGAAGUUGAAAAAUGACGGUGUCAUCAAACCCAAACUCGUCAUCAGUAUCAGGUAAGUGAAUCAAGUGUUUUAAUAUGUAUAUCUAUCUUUAUUAGGUAUAAAUAGCCAGUCAUGUUAUGAGAUGGGUGGAGGCAAUAUGAGACGUCGUGGUGGAGGGGAGAGAGAGGAUUUUCAAAAAUGUGAUGUGGGGAAGAAUCUAUGAUUAGAACAUCUGGAACAAGUAAAAACCCCGAGAGGCUCUUCCAUUGUUGUCCAUAUGGAUCCGAAGGGGAAAAAUUUCAUCUUUUCAAAUGGAGUGAUGAAGGUGCGGUGGAAGAGAUUGAAGAUUUAAAAAGUAUGGUGAGUGAUGUAAAAGGAGGAGUCUCAGAUUUGAGAGCUCAAAUAGCUGGAUUGGAGAAGGAUUGUGAAGGAAUGAAGAAUGUGAUUCUCGAAUUAGGGAAAAACAUGAAGGAUUGCUGUGUUGUUUUGAAAAUUUGAAUGUGGGUCAUGUAAGGAUUGGAAGAGUUGUUUUGUAAUGUUUGAAUUCGGAUUUCUUUUACAGUUUCGCAUGUAAGACUUGGAAGUGUCAUUAUGUUAUGUUGACUAUUUUAUCAAAA